AUAGUACUUCCUCCGUCUCAAAAAAUUUGUCUUAGAUUUAUCUAGAUAUAAAUAUAUCUAGUUACGUUUUAGUAUUUAGAUACUAUACAUUUAUUUCUAUACGAAACUAAGACAAAAUUUUUGGGACGGAUGGAGUAUUUA
Molecule: non-coding RNA, 141 nt
Organism: Hordeum vulgare subsp. vulgare (domesticated barley)
Lineage: Eukaryota; Viridiplantae; Streptophyta; Magnoliopsida; Poales; Poaceae
Source: Rfam